CGGCGAACGGGCGAGUAAUACGUGGGUAACCAACCUUCGAAAUCGGGAUAACACUUGGAAACGGGUGCUAAUACCGGAUGUGACCACGUCAUCGCAUGGUGACGAGGUAAAAGACGGGGAACCUUAAAGGUCCUGUCAUUCGGAGAUGGGCCCGCGUCCUAUCAGCUAGUUGGUGGGGUAAUGGCUCACCAAGGCUUUUGACGGGUAGCUGGACUAAGAGGUUGGUCAGCCGCACUGGGACUGAGACACUGCCCAGACUCCUACGGGAGGCUGCAGUCGAGGAUCUUUUGCAAUGGGCGAAAGCCUGACAAUGCGACGCCGCGUGAGGGACGAAGGCCUUCGGGUCGUAAACCUCUGUCAGGGGGGAUGAGGCCCCGAACGAUAAAUAAUCGUUCGGGGUGACAGUACCCCCAAAGGAAGCCACGGCUAACUCCGUGCCAGCAGCCGCGGUAAUACGGAGGUGGCAAGCGUUACUCGGAUUCAUUGGGUGUAAAGGGCGUGUAGGCGGUUGUGUAAGUCGAAUGUGAAAUCCCACGGCUUAACCGUGGAAGUGCAUUCGAAACUGCGCAACUAGAGUAUGGGAGAGGAGAACGGAAUUCCCGGUGUAAGGGUGAAAUCUGUGGAUAUCGGGAGGAACACCAGUGGCGAAGGCGGUUCUCUGGCCCAUAACUGACGCUGAGAAGCGAAAGCGUGGGGAGCAAACAGGAUUAGAUACUCUGGUAGUCCACGCUGUAAACGAUGAGCACUAGGUGUUGGUUCGUAUAGAGCCGGUGCCGCAGUUAACACAUUAAGUGCUCCACCUGGGGACUACGACCGCAAGGUUGAAACCCAAAGGAAUUGACGGGGCCCGCACAAGCGGUGGAACAUGUGUUCAAUUCG
This 879-nucleotide ribosomal RNA is filed under the name uncultured bacterium. RNAcentral describes it as "bacterial SSU rRNA". It matches the Rfam family "Bacterial small subunit ribosomal RNA", at positions 96 to 953 of the family's 1533-position model. The record is from RNAcentral.